GGCCACUGUCUGCAGCACAUAGCACUGGCUGGUUAUAAAGGACUUGUCUAGGGGAGAGCCUGUAGGUACUCCAUUGUCUGAUGGAUCUGAGAACGCUGUCUGGGCUUGGUACCAAGAGCUGGUAUUUCACAGCAGCGACCGCCUCACAGACGAGCUGUGGGAAGCAGGAGGGAGACUCUCUCUUAGGGUGCCACUACUAUGGAGACACAGCUGGGCUGAACAAGAUUUGCUUCAAACGACAACAAGAGAGACAGAAAGUAUCUGGUUCAACCGCUGCCCGAGCAGGCAGGCACCAGAAGAGCUAGCAGCCAAUCCGGCCAUGCUCGAAGCCAGCUCUGCAGCUCAGCCAAUCAGUGACAUCAUUGCUUUCUUUAGCUUGCCCAUGGUGAUGUGAAGAUGAGAAGAAAUAGCAAGGCCCAACCAGUUCUUCAUCUGGAGACAGUUCAACGUUCUGCAAACCAGAUCUUCAGGAAUUUUACUGGGAUAAUUAUCCAAAUAAAUUGCAAGCAUUCUAUCCAAAUGGAGCUCUUUCUGAGAUGAAGAGAAUUCUCAAUGUCAAGAUUUGAACAAGAAGAGAAUGGAAUACACAAUAUGGACAUCCAUAAAAAUUCAUCAGAGAGCAUUUUACUACUGAGCUGCAAAGAUGACAAGAGCACCUCAAAGGCAGCAGCCUCAAGGAGCAGCCAUGGCCCCAGACUUGUCGCACGGAUGCAGAAAACUUAAUGGAGGAGGCUGAGGUCAGAAUGGGAAGAGUUUUUAAAAAAUAAAAAGGGGAGCUAAUAUGUGAGGAACUGAUUGCUGUGCAUUAUUUUCCACUGAACAGACCUUCUUUUAACUUCUAAUCUCAAGCACAUAGCAGCUGUUGUUUUCAUAUUAAAGAUCAGUAAGUGUUUGUUGAAUGAAUGUAUAAAUUCUUCCCCAAUCUCUGUUCCAUGUAAUAAGAACUAAGUUAGCAUUCAAUUAUAAAGAGGACUUAGAAAGUCUGCAGACAUUUUUGAUCAAAAAUCCUUUUAACUGUCUUCUUAUGGUUCCCGGUAACACCUAAGCCCAAAAAACUCAGGUCAUUUCUUGCCUGUACUGUUGCAAUAGCCUCAUAAUAACUAGUCUUCUCCUUUAUCAACCACAGUCGUCUCCGCUACACAAAGAAGAGAGGGUGCUAAUCUAAAGUGUAAAUUAUUUUAAAUCAGCACCCUUCUUGUAAUUUCCCAGUGGUUUUUCCUGUCAUAAGAAUAACAUGCAAAAUUCCUUGCUUGCAAAGCCAGGUAUGACCUUGCCCCGUCUACCUUACUGGCAUCGUCUCUCAUGACUCUUCCCCUUUUUCACUCUCCAUCUUGCCUUUUCCCAACCAUGCCUGCUAGUGAGCCUUAGCCCUUGUGUUUUCUCUGCCAGGGAUGCAUGACUGGCUUCUUUACUUUAUUCUGAUCUCUCUGCUCAAAUGUCAUCUUUUUAGAGAUAGCUUUCCUAAACAUCUUUAAAAGUACCCCAUGAACUGUGAAACACCUUUCCUGCUUUUUCUUCAUAGUACUUAUCACUUCCUGAUAUUAUGUUAGACAACAAGCAAAUAAGUAUAUGCUGUUCCCACUAAAAUAUAAGCUCCAUUUGAACAGGAGCCUUGAUUAUUCCUGAGUAUACCCCUAGUGCCCAGAACCUAGUAGGGCUUUAAUAAAUAUUAGAUUCAUUUGUUGAAUGAAAAAAUGAAUGAAUAAUUGAAUAAAGAUAUCCAGGUAGAGUGUCCGGGCAGCCCAACCUAUGUGAAGCCAGUACAAGAAUGUUUCUGUGACAUAGUGAGCGCAAUUAUUCCUCUAAAUGAUGAACUUGCAUGAGUACACAAGGAUAAAAUUAAGCACGUAGUUUAGAUUUCUGCAAGUCUCUUCCUCAGAUUGAGGAAAAACAAAGAAAUUGAGCUUAUUCUCACCUCAUUCUUACAUGAACUAAAUCCAGAAUAAAGCAUCAUUUAAAUACCAAGCACAUCCCUACCUCAGCCACUCAUGGAAUACUUUAUCUGUAAAGGGACAGAUAGAUAGUAAAUAUUUUUGGCUUUGGGGACCGUACAGUCUGUGUCGCCACUACUCAGCACUUCUGUUGAGGUGUGGAAUCAGCCCUAGACAACACAUAAACAAAUGGGUGUGGCUGUGUUCCAAUAAAAUGUUAUUUAUAAAACUAGGAAAUCAGCAGAUUUAGUCCACAGGCUGUAGUUUGCUGACCCUUGAAUUAGAGAGUCUUCCCCAAAUCCUCUUCCCAAGUUAUUGAAAGAAUGCCCAUAGGACCAUAGCUCCCUCACCUGGUUCUUUCAAGAAAUGAGACAAAUUCAGGGAUGGUUGGAGGGUGGAACGCCUACCUGUGACAUGACUAUUGAGCCUGAUUUCUUUCCUUUUAUCUCUUUAAAGUGAGUCAGGUCUUAACUUUAAACUGUCUCUAAAGUGGCAAUAACUGGGCCAUGUCAAAUACUCCCAAUGACAAAAUUUCUUCUUGGAGAAUGAAUGAGGGUUGCAUACAGUGGUGUGUUGGUAAAUGUUUAGCAACUGGCUCUCUUACUGAUUUCUGUAGUGUAAAUUCUCCCAUCCUGGCCAUCUGAAACUACCAAUAUGAUGUCACUUGAUGUAGAGUUGGGAAAAGACAGUCUCUUGAAUAAGUAUGAGCUGGUUCCAGCCCACUGCUGAACACAUAUUUAAAAGCUACAAUAGCUCUGCUCACUGCCAUUGCAGAGUCUGGAGGAAAGAGUAGCAGGCUUGAUAGGAGCAAUUGGCUGAAUAAUCUUUUGCAAUGCCAAUAAAUAAUGAAAAAGUAUAUAAAUAUAACGCUGUAUAGAAAGCUCUCAAGUUCAGUGUUUGGUUAAAAUACAUACUCAGUAAAUGGUAGCUAUUAUUGUCUUAGUUUAAGUUAUUGCAAGCAUUAAAAUUAAAUGUUUAGCUACAGACUCAAUCCAGUUUUAAUGUCAUUGUGUUAAUAAGGCCUCUUAACAUUGAAGCAACAAAGAUAAAGGAAUUUUUUUGUAGCUAUUCACGAUUCUGCCCAGCUCAAGGUAAAGAUAGCAACAAAAUACUCCAACCAGAAUAAAAGAAGUCUCCACUUGACUGCAGCUCUUCGCAACACUUCACAAGGGUCAAGCUGUGUUAGUUUCCUUCAGUGUUAAACAGAAUGCAUCUUAAGAGAAUAGUUCAAUUAUUGAUUGAAUAGUAGGUUCAAGUUGACUAUAAUCCCAACUAAUACACUCUAAGACCAGGGAUGGGCCGACAGAAGGGUAAAGUUUUCCACUCAAGUCUCGAGGCAAACACUCAGAUAGAAGUAGUAAUAUGGAUGCCUUCUAUUAUUUGGUCACAUACAAUACUGUUCCAGCCCAGUUGUGCAAAACUGGUGAAAUAAAAGGCAAAAAUAUUGACAACAGUUUGGGUAACUGGAUUCCAAAAUGGGCAUCCAUCUAAGAGAAAUUAAUGAAAAAAAAGCAUAUGGACCUUGAAAUACAUUAAUACACAGUUUAGGUUUAAACACUCAGUUUUUAUUAGAAAAGACUAACUUAUCCUGUUUUGAACACUACAAAAGUGCUUUCUGAACCAUUUACUCUCAAACCUCCUCCACCCAUUCCCCUCCAUCUAUAACGCUUUCUGCACAUCUGUAAAAGGUAUGACUUAGUGUUUGGUCUGUGAAAUAAGGUUAAAAAGGAAGCAUUUCUUUUUACAUUCUAGCUAAUGUUGAUAUUUUUCUCAUGCUUCUAUUAGCACAUAAUUCAGAUACAUUAGUUUUGAAGUUUUGAAUCUUCUCUGCUUCUUGAGGGCUCUCUGUUCUAGAUCAACAUGAUCUGUGGAACACCAGCCAAGUCCUGGGCAGAACCCUCCCCGUUGUCCAAAUAUUACUGAAUCAGUUGAGUUUUCUCUGUUGUCAAUGAAUUAUUCCACAUGUUUCUUUGGCUACAUUUUUUUUGGCUUUCUGUUCACAGUAAAUAUAGCCUUUGUUUUUAAAAACUUCUAUUAUGAAAAUUCCAAAUAUAUGCAAAUUAGAGAGAAUAGCAUAAUGAACCUCUAUGUGCUUAUCACACAUAUAGGUUCAACUAAUUAAAUUAUAUCAAUUUAUGGCCAAUCUGGUUUCAUUUAUAACAUCAUUCGCUCAUUCCUAACUCCCUGGAUUAUUUGAUUGACAUGUUUCUAAAGUUCCUUUUAAUCUGUAGGUUCCCCCUCUCAUUUAAUCUUUUGCAACUUAUUCAUUGAUGAAACUGGGUUAUUUGUCCUUUAUUGUUUCUCUCAUUCUGAAAUAUGCUGUAAUGUCAUUAACCAUAUUCUUCUUUCCUGUAUUUUCUGUAAGCUUUGAGCUAGGCAGAAAUAUUUUAAUCAGAUUCCUUUUUUUUUCUUUUAGCAAGAUUUCUUCAUAAAUAAUAUUGUAUGUGUUCAUGAAAAUAGAAAUAAAAAUAGAAAUAAAGAAGAA
This is a long non-coding RNA of Homo sapiens (human), 4416 nucleotides long. Ensembl annotates it as mir-99a-let-7c cluster host gene. Its record names the gene MIR99AHG. NCBI's taxonomy places the organism in Eukaryota, Metazoa, Chordata, Mammalia, Primates, Hominidae. The record is from Ensembl.